RNAcentral lists this ribosomal RNA (470 nucleotides) under uncultured bacterium. RNAcentral describes it as "bacterial SSU rRNA". It matches the Rfam family "Bacterial small subunit ribosomal RNA", at positions 9 to 511 of the family's 1533-position model. The record is from RNAcentral.
GAGUUUGAUCCUGGCUCAGAUUGAACGCUGGCGGCAGGCCUAACACAUGCAAGUCGAACGAGAAAGUGGAGCAAUCCAUGAGUACAGUGGCGACCGGGUGAGUAACACGUGACUAACCUACCCUCGAGUGGGGAAUAACUCCGGGAAACCGGAGCUAAUACCGCAUAACAUCGCAAGAUCAAAGCCGAAAGGCGCUUGAGGAGGGGGUCGCGGCUGAUUAGCUAGUUGGCGGGGUAAUGGCCCACCAAGGCGAAGAUCGGUAUCCGGCCUGAGAGGGCGCACGGACACACUGGAACUGAAACACGGUCCAGACUCCUACGGGAGGCAGCAGUGGGGAAUUUUGCGCAAUGGGGGAAACCCUGACGCAGCAACGCCGCGUGGAGGAUGAAGUCCCUUGGGAUGUAAACUCCUUUCGACCGGGAAGAUACUGACGGUACCGGAAGAAGAAGCACCGGCUAACUCUGUGCCAG